RNAcentral lists this ribosomal RNA (254 nucleotides) under uncultured bacterium. RNAcentral's name for it is "partial 16S ribosomal RNA". It matches the Rfam family "Bacterial small subunit ribosomal RNA", at positions 524 to 776 of the family's 1533-position model. The record is from RNAcentral.
UACGGAGGGUGCAAGCGUUAUCCGGAUUUACUGGGUUUAAAGGGUGCGUAGGUGGGUUGGUAAGUCAGUGGUGAAAUACUUUCGCUUAACGAAGGAACUGCCAUUGAUACUACCAGUCUUGAAUACAGUGGAGGUAGGCGGAAUGCGUCAUGUAAGCGGUGAAAUGCUUAGAUAUGACGCAGAACACCAAUUGCGAAGGCAGCUUGCUACACUGUUAUUGACACUGAGGCACGAAAGCGUGGGGAUCAAACAGG